CGACCGGCGCACGGGUGAGUAACGCGUAUGCAACCUGCCCGUUUCAGCGGGAUAACCCGGAGAAAUCCGGCCUAAUACCGCAUGUGGCCGAGGGGAGGCAUCUUCUUUCGGCCAAAGGAGGCGACUCCGGAGACGGAUGGGCAUGCGUGACAUUAGCUAGUUGGCGGGGUAACGGCCCACCAAGGCGACGAUGCGUAGGGGUUCUGAGAGGAAGGUCCCCCACACUGGUACUGAGACACGGACCAGACUCCUACGGGAGGCAGCAG
RNAcentral lists this ribosomal RNA (266 nucleotides) under uncultured bacterium. RNAcentral's name for it is "partial 16S ribosomal RNA". It matches the Rfam family "Bacterial small subunit ribosomal RNA", at positions 92 to 354 of the family's 1533-position model. The record is from RNAcentral.